RNAcentral lists this transfer RNA (86 nucleotides) under Bacteroidota bacterium. RNAcentral describes it as "tRNA-Leu". It matches the Rfam family "tRNA". Rfam says of the family: Transfer RNA (tRNA) molecules are approximately 80 nucleotides in length. Lineage: Bacteria; Pseudomonadati; Bacteroidota. The record is from RNAcentral. RNAcentral also lists the same sequence under 1 other name.
GCCCGGAUGGCGGAAUAGGUAGACGCGCUGGACUUAAAAUCCAGUGAUUUUUAAAAAUCGUGCCGGUUCGAUUCCGGCUCCGGGUA